CCAGGUAAAACAGAGCAAAUAAGGAACAUAUUUUCGCCGUUCCAGCGAAACAUUCAGAUUAAAUGUGCUACAAAACUUGAUCAGCGGGUGGCUUCCUAUAGUUUGAUUGGUUCACAUUCAGCUGCACACUAAGCAAAUGAAAGGUGGAAUAACCAGCAGGGGCCUCCUAUAGUUUUGGGGUACAUUCUUCCAAACACAAAUUACCAAACGAAAGGUGGAAUAACCAGCACGGGCGACCAAAACAUCCCUGGAGCAAAGUUAACCCCAUUCCCCGGAAAUAAAAGCAAGAUAUGACUAAGCAGGGUAAGGUCUUAAACUAUGUGCUCAGCCAACGCCAAGAUCUUGAGAUGCUUCUUCUUCCUG
RNAcentral lists this long non-coding RNA (363 nucleotides) under Hordeum vulgare. RNAcentral describes it as "long non-coding RNA (HVUL_LNC011458)". Lineage: Eukaryota; Viridiplantae; Streptophyta; Magnoliopsida; Poales; Poaceae. The record is from RNAcentral.